GGGGAUGUUUUGGUUUUGACAGCAUUGCUCCUUUCAGUAAGCACGCCGUGAGGUGGGAAUACUCACGAUAAUCUCUGUUUCCGACCAAUUUAGUUGGCAAUUACAACUACUCAUACGCUUGCUAAUCCACAAAGUGGUUUAGAUUAAUCAGGGGCGCCAAGGCUGCGCAACUGACGUAUAUCCCGCCGGGAUUCAGUCCGGUCCUUUCCAGCAUACGGGGUAUCAUCCAGACCGGAUGCUCAGUCCCGACUCCGCUGCGGACUGCCAAGAUCAAGCGGAUAAGCUCCGGCUAAGCCUGCCUUCCGGCAUACCGGAGUCGACAAUCAAAGAAAGGAUAAGCGUGUAGAAAACUGCCGGGUACGGUGUUUGGACGGCGGUUCGAGUCCGCCCAUCUCCACCA
Molecule: transfer-messenger RNA, 400 nt
Filed under: bovine gut metagenome
Rfam family: transfer-messenger RNA
About the family: Bacterial tmRNA, also known as 10Sa RNA or SsrA, is named for its dual tRNA and mRNA-like properties. Its role is to liberate the mRNA from a stalled ribosome. To accomplish this part of the tmRNA is used as a reading frame that ends in a translation stop signal.
Source: RNAcentral